RNAcentral lists this long non-coding RNA (344 nucleotides) under Dermacentor andersoni. RNAcentral's name for it is "uncharacterized LOC126527438". The record is from RNAcentral. Lineage: Eukaryota; Metazoa; Arthropoda; Arachnida; Ixodida; Ixodidae.
CUGAUAGCCAUCGUUCGCCCUAAGAAGCUCGGCCCCGGCGAAACGGAAUCGUACUGGAGCCGUAAAGGGUAUUACGCCCUCAACUGCAUGGUCGUGUGUGAUGCAAAGCUGAAUAUCCUGGCAAUUGACCCACGGUUUCCGGGAUCGUGCCACGAUUAUUUCGUUUGGAGGCAUUCUGCAUUUCGCCGCCGCCUCACUCGUGGCCUGUUACUUCAUGGAGAAGUCUUGCUUGGGGACUCUGGGUACCCGCUAGAGCCAUGGAUCAUGACUCCUGUGCCUGGUCACCCAAAUCGCCUCACGGCAGAGGGGCGCUAUAAUGAGGCACACGCAUCAAUGCGAAAUGC